Molecule: ribosomal RNA, 416 nt
Filed under: uncultured organism
Description: bacterial SSU rRNA
Rfam family: Bacterial small subunit ribosomal RNA
Source: RNAcentral
AGAGUUUGAUCCUGGCUCAGAACGAACGCUGGCGGCAGGCCUAACACAUGCAAGUCGAACGCCCCGCAAGGGGAGUGGCAGACGGGUGAGUAACGCGUGGGAACCUACCUUACGGUCGGGAAUAGCUCAGGGAAACUUGGGGUAAUACCGGAUACGCCCUUACGGGGAAAGAUUCAUCGCCGUUAGAUGGGCCCGCGUAGGAUUAGCUAGUUGGUGAGGUAAUGGCUCACCAAGGCGACGAUCCUUAGCUGGUCUGAGAGGAUGAUCAGCCACACUGGGACUGAGACACGGCCCAGACUCCUACGGGAGGCAGCAGUGGGGAAUAUUGGACAAUGGGCGCAAGCCUGAUCCAGCCAUGCCGCGUGAGUGACGAAGGCCUUAGGGUUGUAAAGCUCUUUUGGCGGGGAAGAUAAUGA